Molecule: ribosomal RNA, 254 nt
Filed under: uncultured bacterium
Lineage: Bacteria
Description: partial 16S ribosomal RNA
Rfam family: Bacterial small subunit ribosomal RNA
Source: RNAcentral
UACAGAGGUGGCAAGCGUUGUUCGGAAUUACUGGGCGUAAAGCGCGCGUAGGCGGGGGGUUAAGUGAGAGGUGAAAGGCUGGGGCUCAACCUCAUGCAGUGCCUCUCAUACUGGCCUUCUUGAGGGCGGUAGGGAGAAGUGGAAUGGCUGGUGUAGCGGUGAAAUGCGUAGAUAUCGUCAAGAACACCGAUAGUGUAGACAGCUAACUAAGCUUUAACUGACGCUGAGGCACGAAAGUGUGGGGAUCAAACAGG